UGGCUGGUCUCUGCAGGCGGUUGGCGCCGUUGGUCUCGCGAAGUCGAGUCGGUUCUCUUCCCUCCGCACGCUGGCCCGCUCCGCACACUGCAGAGAACGGCCCUCCGGUGAGGGUGGGACAGCACCGCGAAGGCGGUGGGCUCCGGCCCGACCCGGCCCGGCCCGCAAAGGGGCCUUGCACGUGGGUUUCCAGGGAGAGGGCACCGAUCGGCGCGCAGAAGCCCGUCGAAGGCAGGGCUGAGGCCACAGCGGCGUGCGAGGGAGGAAACUGCCAGGACCCCCAGUCGAGGACGUGGGCGGAUGGAGAACGAGCUCGUUUAUCCAUGAAACUGCCACGGGCUGGCCGGGCCUGUGUAUUUUCUAAAUUGGUGGCUGCUUGGAGAACCCAAGGUGGAGUCGAGAGAAUAUGAUAAAGGCUGCUGUUGAGGCUGGGCCGCAGGCAUCUGCUCUGGAGUCUAGCUUCCUUCUGACACAUAAAGGAUGGAUCCAGCACCUUGGAAACAGGCCCGGGAGCUGAAGUCCCAGGACAGGCCAGAACCUGGCCACAUGUGGACCACCUGUCUCUGUCCAUAGGCAAAGACCACCAGGAACAAAGUUGGAUUUACUGAUUUGUUGCAAUGAGGGAGACUGCAUACCUGUCUCUAUGAGUCCAGGGACAUCUCAGUCCAAAGGUGUUACAAAGAACUUACAAUAGAACUUGUGUGAGGUACCGUGGGGGCAGUUUCAAGGAAGCAGGAUCAAUUCUAUGAUCGGGUAUCUCAAUUUUUAUAUAGAACGUGAAACAAAAGCAGCAGAGCUUAAGCUGUGGUUGGUAAAGAGACAGCCUUCACUUGUGUUAGCUUGGGGUGGGGAACGUUGGUUUUUAUGGUUUACAUAGUGGCCAUGAUAUUGUCUGCCCUCAGACAUGACCACGGAAUGGUCCUGUAUUGUCAGACUUUGGGAUCUGUGAGACUGGCUUUGUUCCACAGCAGAACUUCACAGUCUAGCUGUGAGCCCCUGGCUGGUCUGAGCCUGCUGCCAUGGACUGUUUUCUCUUUCUCACUGCAAAGGCAAAGCCUUGACCCUCAACUUGCAACCUUCUCUCCUAGUCUCAUAUCUUCAUGGUGGGAUAGCGAUCAUCCCACUGGAAGAGGAAGAACGGAUGGUUGAGAAUAAGGAGAGAGAUUUGUGGGAGGUAGACUAGGGAGGGAAUAGCAGCUUAGCUUAAAAUAUCCAUAUCUCUGUCACCUGUACAGAUCCAGGGUUCCCUUCCUCUCUCAGGAUAGAAUGGGAUUCCAGAGCCAUGUUGGCAGGGGUGGGGCAGGAAGCAGGGUGGGAGGGAUUAGGAUAUGAUUGCUGAGCAGGUGAUUUCUGAAUUACUGAAAGAAGGUCCCAGUAAAGGGGUGGGGAAGGCAAUAAGAAGUGGUCAUUCUUAGCACAGAUAAUCCUCACUUAGAAAUACAAUCCACUCCCUUAGGAAACCGAGGUAGUGUGAUCAUACAACCCAAUUUUCUGGUACAUCCAGUUAUAAUACCUUUAUUGUAACUAUUCGAUUACCUGGGAUAUAGUUUUGCUACAAACGAUCUGGGUUUAUACAAAUCAAUUUUUGUAGUGAAGGGAAUCCAUUACUUGUCUGAUCCUCUGAGGAACAGACAGCAAAAUGGGAUUAGACAUGCAAGAGGGUUAUUUGGGGAAACACCUGUGAGGAAGCAAGGGUUUGAGGGAGCAGGAACAGGCAGGGGGAGCCUUCUGACCUAUCAGCCCAGCCCUCCUGCUGAAGCAGGGAGGGAGAGGAGGACAGAGGGGAAGAAGCACAGGCCACAGGCUGCAGGGCAGUUCUGAGAAAAUCUUGGCCAGGCCGCUGGGGUCUCCCGAGACUGAACUUCCCCAUUAGAAGAGUCCCCAUCAUUGGGUGGGAACCGUGUGGCACCGGGGACCCCUGCUGUACCCCUGCUGUGCCCCUGCCGUGCUCCUGCCGUGCUCAGUCAUUGCCCAGAGGCGGCCAGGGGGGUGCCUGGCCUCCUGUUCCUUGGGAGGGCGGGGGGUGGCAGUUGAGGCUGUACUGACAGCCUGCUUCUUGCCACUUGCUCUCUUGUCGCCAUCGGAGCCACACCCUGGGGAGGGGGGCACACGAGGCUUCAAUUGGCAGCACCCCCAAGUCAAAAUGGAACCCAGUUUAAAUCCUCCUAGAAGCAGGGGCCAAGAUGGGAUUAGACAGGCAACAGCUUUAUUGAGGGAGAUGCCGUGAGGAUAAAAGGGGGCAAGGGGUGGGGGGGGAAACCUAAGCAAAUGUGACACAACCUGUGCACUACUGGUGAAGGUGAAGAAAUAAACUCACAGAAGAGUGUUUCCUUUAAAACCCUCUGUAAAAAAAAAAAACAAAAAACAAAAAAACAAAACCGUGAAGUCAUGUGUGCUGAAUAUGGGCUUGGGAAAUAUGCUUUUUAAGACCCUGAAUUCAGAGCAUCAGACAAAUAGGAUACAGCUCAACUAUC
Long non-coding RNA from Mustela lutreola (European mink), 2474 nucleotides. RefSeq lists it as uncharacterized. The transcript is spliced from 3 exons. The record is from RefSeq and is a predicted model, not a curated record. NCBI's taxonomy places the organism in Eukaryota, Metazoa, Chordata, Mammalia, Carnivora, Mustelidae.